RNAcentral lists this ribosomal RNA (1392 nucleotides) under Vibrio alginolyticus. RNAcentral describes it as "bacterial SSU rRNA". It matches the Rfam family "Bacterial small subunit ribosomal RNA", at positions 66 to 1437 of the family's 1533-position model. The record is from RNAcentral. Lineage: Bacteria; Pseudomonadati; Pseudomonadota; Gammaproteobacteria; Vibrionales; Vibrionaceae.
GCGGUAACGAGUUAUCUGAACCUUCGGGGAACGAUAACGGCGUCGAGCGGCGGACGGGUGAGUAAUGCCUAGGAAAUUGCCCUGAUGUGGGGGAUAACCAUUGGAAACGAUGGCUAAUACCGCAUGAUGCCUACGGGCCAAAGAGGGGGACCUUCGGGCCUCUCGCGUCAGGAUAUGCCUAGGUGGGAUUAGCUAGUUGGUGAGGUAAGGGCUCACCAAGGCGACGAUCCCUAGCUGGUCUGAGAGGAUGAUCAGCCACACUGGAACUGAGACACGGUCCAGACUCCUACGGGAGGCAGCAGUGGGGAAUAUUGCACAAUGGGCGCAAGCCUGAUGCAGCCAUGCCGCGUGUGUGAAGAAGGCCUUCGGGUUGUAAAGCACUUUCAGUCGUGAGGAAGGUAGUGUAGUUAAUAGCUGCAUUAUUUGACGUUAGCGACAGAAGAAGCACCGGCUAACUCCGUGCCAGCAGCCGCGGUAAUACGGAGGGUGCGAGCGUUAAUCGGAAUUACUGGGCGUAAAGCGCAUGCAGGUGGUUUGUUAAGUCAGAUGUGAAAGCCCGGGGCUCAACCUCGGAAUAGCAUUUGAAACUGGCAGACUAGAGUACUGUAGAGGGGGGUAGAAUUUCAGGUGUAGCGGUGAAAUGCGUAGAGAUCUGAAGGAAUACCGGUGGCGAAGGCGGCCCCCUGGACAGAUACUGACACUCAGAUGCGAAAGCGUGGGGAGCAAACAGGAUUAGAUACCCUGGUAGUCCACGCCGUAAACGAUGUCUACUUGGAGGUUGUGGCCUUGAGCCGUGGCUUUCGGAGCUAACGCGUUAAGUAGACCGCCUGGGGAGUACGGUCGCAAGAUUAAAACUCAAAUGAAUUGACGGGGGCCCGCACAAGCGGUGGAGCAUGUGGUUUAAUUCGAUGCAACGCGAAGAACCUUACCUACUCUUGACAUCCAGAGAACUUUCCAGAGAUGGAUUGGUGCCUUCGGGAACUCUGAGACAGGUGCUGCAUGGCUGUCGUCAGCUCGUGUUGUGAAAUGUUGGGUUAAGUCCCGCAACGAGCGCAACCCUUAUCCUUGUUUGCCAGCGAGUAAUGUCGGGAACUCCAGGGAGACUGCCGGUGAUAAACCGGAGGAAGGUGGGGACGACGUCAAGUCAUCAUGGCCCUUACGAGUAGGGCUACACACGUGCUACAAUGGCGCAUACAGAGGGCGGCCAACUUGCGAAAGUGAGCGAAUCCCAAAAAGUGCGUCGUAGUCCGGAUUGGAGUCUGCAACUCGACUCCAUGAAGUCGGAAUCGCUAGUAAUCGUGGAUCAGAAUGCCACGGUGAAUACGUUCCCGGGCCUUGUACACACCGCCCGUCACACCAUGGGAGUGGGCUGCAAAAGAAGUAGGUAGUUAA